UACGAAGGGGGCUAGCGUUGCUCGGAAUUACUGGGCGUAAAGGGCGCGUAGGCGGCUCUGUUAGUCAGGCGUGAAAUUCCUGGGCUCAACCUGGGGACUGCGCUUGAUACUGCAGGGCUUGAGGCCGAGAGAGGGUGGUGGAAUUCCCAGUGUAGAGGUGAAAUUCGUAGAUAUUGGGAAGAACACCGGUGGCGAAGGCGACCACCUGGCUCGGUUCUGACGCUGAGGCGCGACAGCGUGGGGAGCAAAC
Molecule: ribosomal RNA, 250 nt
Filed under: uncultured bacterium
Lineage: Bacteria
Description: partial 16S ribosomal RNA
Rfam family: Bacterial small subunit ribosomal RNA
Source: RNAcentral